AUACGGAGGGUGCAAGCGUUAAUCGGAAUUACUGGGCGUAAAGCGCGCGUAGGCGGCUGAUUAAGUCGGAUGCGAAAUCCCUGGGCUCAACCUAGGAACUGCAUCCGAUACUGGUCAGCUGGAGUUUUGGAGAGGUAAGUGGAAUUUCCGGUGUAGCGGUGAAAUGCAUAGAGAUCGGAAGGAACACCAGUGGCGAAGGCGACUUACUGGCCAAAAACUGACGCUGAGGUGCGAAAGCGUGGGUAGCGAACAGGAUUAGAAACCCUGGUAGUCC
RNAcentral lists this ribosomal RNA (274 nucleotides) under uncultured bacterium. RNAcentral describes it as "partial 16S ribosomal RNA". It matches the Rfam family "Bacterial small subunit ribosomal RNA", at positions 523 to 796 of the family's 1533-position model. The record is from RNAcentral.